This 508-nucleotide ribosomal RNA is filed under the name uncultured bacterium. RNAcentral's name for it is "partial 16S ribosomal RNA". It matches the Rfam family "Bacterial small subunit ribosomal RNA", at positions 28 to 507 of the family's 1533-position model. The record is from RNAcentral.
GACGAACGCUGGCGGCGUGCCUAAUACAUGCAAGUCGAACGCUUCUUUCCUCCCGAGUGCUUGCACUCAAUUGGAAAGAGGGGUGGCGGACGGGUUAGUAACACUUGGGUAACCUACCCAUCAGCGGGGGAUAACACUUGGAAACAGGUGCUAAUAUCGCAUAACAGUUUAUGCCGCAUGGCAUGAGAGUGAAAGGCGCUUUCGGGUGUCGUUGAUGGAUGGACCCGCGGUGCAUUAGCUAGUUGGUGAGGUAACGGCUCACCAAGGCCACGAUGCAUAGCCGACCUGAGAGGGUGAUCGGCCACACUGGGACUGAGACACGGCCCAGACUCCUACGGGAGGCAGCAGUAGGGAAUCUUCGGCAAUGGACGAAGGUCUGACCGAGCAACGCCGCGUGAGUGAAGAAGGUUUUCGGAUCGUAAAACUCUGUUGUUAGAGAAGAACAAGGACGUUAGUAACUGAACGUCCCCUGACGGUACCUAACCAGAAAGCCACGGCUAACUACGUG